GACGAACGCUGGCGGCGUGCUUAACACAUGCAAGUCGAGCGGUAAGGCCCUUUCGGGGGUACACGAGCGGCGAACGGGUGAGUAACACGUGGGUGACCUGCCCUCAGCUCUGGGAUAAGCCUGGGAAACCGGGUCUAAUACUGGAUAUGACUCCAUGACGCAUGUUGUGGGGUGGAAAGCCUUGUGCGGCUGAGGAUGGGCCCGCGGCCUAUCAGCUUGUUGGUGGGGUGANGGCCUACCAAGGCGACGACGGGUAGCCGGCCUGAGAGGCGACCGGCCACACUGGGACUGAGACACGGCCCAGACUCCUACGGGAGGCAGCAGUGGGGAAUCUUGCGCAAUGGGCGAAAGCCUGACGCAGCGGCGCCGCGUGAGGGAUGACGGCCU
Molecule: ribosomal RNA, 387 nt
Filed under: uncultured bacterium
Lineage: Bacteria
Description: bacterial SSU rRNA
Rfam family: Bacterial small subunit ribosomal RNA
Source: RNAcentral